Molecule: ribosomal RNA, 302 nt
Filed under: uncultured bacterium
Lineage: Bacteria
Description: bacterial SSU rRNA
Rfam family: Bacterial small subunit ribosomal RNA
Source: RNAcentral
AGUGAAUAGAUACCCGGGUAGUCCACGCUGUAAACGAUGAGUGCUGGACGUUGGCGGGUUUACCUGCCGGUGUCGCAGCUAAACGCGUUAAGCACUCCGCCUGGGGAGUACGGCCGCAAGGUUAAAACUCAAAGGAAUUGACGGGGGCCCGCACAAGCGGUGGAGCAUGUGGUUUAAUUCGACGCAACGCGCAGAACCUUACCAGCCCUUGACAUGGGCGGACGGGGUCCAGAGAUGGACUCUUUCUCGCAAGAGACCGCUACACAGGUGCUGCAUGGCUGUCGUCAGCUCGUGUCGUGAGA